RNAcentral lists this ribosomal RNA (317 nucleotides) under uncultured bacterium. Its description in RNAcentral is "bacterial SSU rRNA". It matches the Rfam family "Bacterial small subunit ribosomal RNA", at positions 28 to 334 of the family's 1533-position model. The record is from RNAcentral.
GAUGAACGCUAGCGACAGGCUUAACACAUGCAAGUCGAGGGGCAGCGGGGGAGUAGCAAUACUCCCGCCGGCGACCGGCGCACGGGUGAGUAACACGUAUGAAACCUGCCCGUAGCAGGGGGAUAAGCGGAAGAAAUUCCGUCUAAUACCGCGUAACAACCCAUGGAGGCAUCUCCGUGGGUUUAAAGGAAGCGAUUCCGGCUACGGAUGGUCAUGCGUCGCAUUAGCUAGUUGGCGGGGUAACGGCCCACCAAGGCGACGAUGCGUAGGGGUUCUGAGAGGAAGGUCCCCCACACUGGUACUGAGACACGGACCAG